This 777-nucleotide ribosomal RNA is filed under the name uncultured Neocallimastigales. RNAcentral's name for it is "partial large subunit ribosomal RNA". It matches the Rfam family "Eukaryotic large subunit ribosomal RNA", at positions 23 to 620 of the family's 3401-position model. The record is from RNAcentral. Lineage: Eukaryota; Fungi; Neocallimastigomycota; Neocallimastigomycetes; Neocallimastigales.
AGAGAGAGACAUGCGCGCAUAUCAAUAAGCGGAGGAAAAGAAACUAACAAGGAUUCCCUUAGUAACGGCGAGUGAAGCGGGAAGAGCUCAAAUUUGAAAUCUUCAAGGUUUUACCUUGACGAAUUGUAGUUUAAAGAAGUGUUUUCUGCUGAAAGUUUUGGUAAAAGUUCUUUGGAAUAGGACAUCAUAGAGGGUGAGAAUCCCGUAUUUGACCAUUAUUUUCAGCUUUGUGAUACACUUUCAAAGAGUCGGAUUGUUUGGGAAUGCAGUCCAAAAUGGGUGGUAAAUUUCAUCUAAAGCUAAAUAUUGGCGAGAGACCGAUAGCGAACAAGUACCGUGAGGGAAAGAUGAAAAGAACUUUGAAAAGAGAGUUAAACAGUACGUGAAAUUGUCAAAAGGGAAGCGUUUGACACCAGUGUUGUUUUCUCGAAAAUCGAAUUAAAAAUGGCUCGAUUUUGUAUUGUUGAGACCUUAAAAGCUCACUGUACAUUUUUCGUGUCUUUUUUAAUGCACUUUUCGUUUAACAAGUCAACAUCAGUUUCUUUUGUUGUAAAAGGGUCAUUGGAAGGUGGCUUUCUUUUCGGAGAAAGUGUUUAUAGCCUUUGGCCUCUGCAAUCGGAGAGACUGAGGUCUGCAGCGUAGACUCUUCGGGGUUAGAUACAUUUGUGCUAAGUUAUAGCCUUUUAUAGACAACUUGUUGACUAUAAUUAGUCUUGUAGGCUUACUCGCUUAUGCUAUUUUACCUACGCUUAGGAUGUUGAAGAUGUAGCACAUCAU